RNAcentral lists this long non-coding RNA (223 nucleotides) under Elaeis guineensis (African oil palm). RNAcentral's name for it is "long non-coding RNA (EGUI_LNC012101)". Lineage: Eukaryota; Viridiplantae; Streptophyta; Magnoliopsida; Arecales; Arecaceae. The record is from RNAcentral.
CUUUGGCAUGAGGUGAUGAAGGCAUAGCUGAUUUUCUCCAUAUCAAGAUCUCAUUAUAGACUCCUCCAAAAGAGCCAAUAGAUCAUUAUAAAGGAGAUUCCAGUCUCUCUAAAGAAAAAAUGAAAGGCAAAUCCAACCAGCCCAAGCAUCUUGGAGCUGCCUAAUGACUCCUUAUCUCCUCUACACUAAAGUCCUCUACAAGUAUACUAUGAUCAUAUGAGUC